This 1372-nucleotide ribosomal RNA is filed under the name uncultured bacterium. RNAcentral's name for it is "16S ribosomal RNA". It matches the Rfam family "Bacterial small subunit ribosomal RNA". The record is from RNAcentral.
UUAGAGUUUGAUCCUGGCUCAAGACGAACGCUGGUGGCGCGCCUAACACAUGCAAGUCGAACGAGCGAGAGAGAGUUUGCUUUCUCAAGCGAGUGGCGAACGGGUGAGUAACGCGUGAGGAACCUGCCUCAAAGAGGGGGACAACAGUUGGAAACGACUGCUAAUACUGCAUAAGCCCACAGGUCGGCAUCGACCAGAGGGAAAAGGAGCAAUCCGCUUUGAGAUGGCCUCGCGUCCGAUUAGCUAGUUGGUGAGGUAACGGCCCACCAAGGCGACGAUCGGUAGCCGGACUGAGAGGUUGAACGGCCACAUUGGGACUGAGACACGGCCCAGACUCCUACGGGAGGCAGCAGUGGGGAAUAUUGCACAAUGGGGGAAACCCUGAUGCAGCGACGCCGCGUGGAGGAAGAAGGUCUUCGGAUUGUAAACUCCUGUUGUUGAGGAAGAUAAUGACGGUACUCAACAAGGAAGUGACGGCUAACUACGUGCCAGCAGCCGCGGUAAAACGUAGGUCACAAGCGUUGUCCGGAAUUACUGGGUGUAAAGGGAGCGCAGGCGGGAAGACAAGUUGGGAGUGAAAUCUAUGGGCUCAACCCAUAAACUGCUUUCAAAACUGUUUUUCUUGAGUAGUGCAGAGGUAGGCGGAAUUCCCGGUGUAGCGGUGGAAUGCGUAGAUAUCGGGAGGAACACCAGUGGCGAAGGCGGCCUACUGGGCACCAACUGACGCUGAGGCUCGAAAGUGUGGGUAGCAAACAGGAUUACGAUACCCUGGUAGUCCACACCGUAAACGAUGAUUACUAGGUGUUGGAGGAUUGACCCCUUCAGUGCCGCAGUUAACACAAUAAGUAAUCCACCUGGGGAGUACGACCGCAAGGUUGAAACUCAAAGGAAUUGACGGGGGCCCGCACAAGCAGUGGAGUAUGUGGUUUAAUUCGACGCAACGCGAAGAACCUUACCAAGUCUUGACAUCCUGCGACGAUGCUGGAAACAGUAUUUUCCUUCGGGACGCAGAGACAGGUGGUGCAUGGUUGUCGUCAGCUCGUGUCGUGAGAUGUUGGGUUAAGUCCCGCAACGAGCGCAACCUUUACUGUCAGUUACUACGCAAGAGGACUCUGGCAGGACUGCCGUUGACAAAACGGAGGAAGGUGGGGAUGACGUCAAAUCAUCAUGCCCUUUAUGACUUGGGCUACACACGUACUACAAUGGCGUUAAACAAAGAGAAGCAAGACCGCGAGGUGGAGCAAAACUCAGAAACAACGUCCCAGUUCGGACUGCAGGCUGCAACUCGCCUGCACGAAGUCGGAAUUGCUAGUAAUCGUGGAUCAGCAUGCCACGGUGAAUACGUUCCCGGGCCUUGCACUAACCGCCCGUC